GACAGAGGGGGCAAGCGUUGCUCGGAAUUACUGGGCGUAAAGCGCGCGCAGGCGGUCCUUUAAGUCUGAUGUGAAAGCCCACGGCUCAACCGUGGAGGGUCAUUGGAAACUGGAGGACUUGAGUACAGAAGAGGAAAGCGGAAUUCCACGUGUAGCGGUGAAAUGCGUAGAGAUGUGGAGGAACACCAGUGGCGAAGGCGGCUUUCUGGUCUGUAACUGACGCUGAGGCGCGAAAGCGUGGGGAGCAAACAGG
Molecule: ribosomal RNA, 253 nt
Filed under: uncultured bacterium
Lineage: Bacteria
Description: partial 16S ribosomal RNA
Rfam family: Bacterial small subunit ribosomal RNA
Source: RNAcentral